CGCCGGGACCGGGCACCACGGGCACCACGGGCACCACGGGCCCCGCGGGCCCGCGCCCAGGGAGCGGAGCGGAGCGCCCAGGCCCGCGCUGCCCAGCGGAGGUGCCGCCGGUCCGCCCGCGCGGGGCCCAGGGAGCGGGCACAGCCCUCGUCCCGUCCCGCCGGUUGGCGGCUCCCCGGGCCCGGCGGCGGCGCGGGGUGUCCCGGCUGGGCUCCGCCGCCAAGUGCGGCCUAAACGGGUUGGCGGGGACCGGGCUGUGGCCAUCCCUGGGCGGUGCGGGGAAACAAGGGCCGGAGGGCGGCCUUGCCUCUCCGUCCAUCCGUCCCUGCAUCCAUCCGUCCGUCCAUCCCUCCCUGCAUCCAUCUCUCCCUCCCUCCAUCCAUCCGCGGUGCCAUCGGUGAAUGCCGCGAUUCGGUCCCCGUCCCCCCCGACAGCCCGUACCGUUGUGCCCGCCGAGUGACCCGACCCCACCGGGCGGGGGGCGCGCACAGGGCCGGGGCUCGGUACAGCUCGGUGUUUUUCCCCUCGCCGUGUUCCGACUAAUCACAAAAGAAGGAAGUGCGUUUUUCCACAGGUUUUUGAGCCGACGGACCCGUGAUCUGCACAGCGGCCCUUGCUCAGGCUUAGCACUCCAGCACUGAGCGUCCUGUGAGUGUCGCAACUAUCUGAGGUCACAGAGGCAUCGAGCAGCUUUCGUAUCAGCUAAUAAAGCCACACGAUGAUACCUUUGAAUCAAGAUAUUCCGCCGGGUUUAGGGAACACGGUUCUUUUAUUGGGUUUUUAUAGAGUUACAGGCGAUUUUCCCGGACCCUCUGAGCUUCCUGCCGCCGCAGCCGGGCUGGCCCCGGGCAGAGCUGCGGGGGGAGCCCGGCGCGACCGCCCACGGUGGCGGGGCCUGUCGCGGGGAGCGACCGCGGACACACGCUAAGGGCCGACAGGGGGGGAUGAAAAGUUAAACUGUACCUUCAGGAGAGUCCGCGUUCCCAAAGAAAAACCCUGGGAAUUGCUUAGAGCCUGUCUGCGGGCGCUGCUGGGGGGCGCGGGCUCCAGGGCGCCGGAGCUGCGCGUCUGUCGGCGGUGUUGCGGGUCCCCGGGCGGGCGGGCGGACGCCACACCGAAACGCCACUUGCGAUGCAACACCACGGCGUCAGAGAAGCUGGGUUUUUUAUAUUUUAUCGUGUUGCUGCUCUAGUUUAUGUUGGCAGGGCUUGCCAAGAGGGUUUUAUUGCCCGCUGACGUUAGCUUAACAAUUCGAGCUCCCCACCGACGACCGGAGGGAUGAUAAAUUAAUUGCCCUCACACCUGCACGUUUUUUUUUUCCCAGUUCUAUGUUACAGACAGUUCUGUAAUAAGUACAAGGUAUGGUGCAAUGCCAGGUACAGCCUAUGCUAAAUUACAAACAAAUCCACCCACACAUUACUAGAGAGUAACUAUAAUAAAGGCUGAAAAGCAAGUUUUAGCAACUGGAGUAAGGCCAAUUAAUUCCUGGCACGAAUUGAAGCUAUAGGUAUGUUGUCAAGAUUAGUUACACGACGUUCACGUCUAUUACAGUCAUAUUUUAAAUAAUGAUAUCUACAUUAGAUCAAAACAGGAAGGAUUUGAUCCAGAACGUGAAGAGAAGGUGAAAACCUGCACAUGCCCCACGUCGCAGGAAGUUCACGUUCAAGUCACAACGAAAGUUUCUAUUCCCCUUCUCACCUUCUCACAACCCCUCGCUGCGAGCCACUCGAGCUGUGUUGUGUUCUUCAAAGAGUGUUAGACAAAUUUUAGGGGGAUUAUCUUCGUCAUUCACGAGACGAAACGAUCAGGACUAACGAGCUACUUUCUGCAAAGACGUUUGACAGAGCCCCGCGGUAGAGGAGGCUUCGCGGCAUUUUCUGGCCGGGCAGUUUGACUUGCAGGAGGCCUGCAGCACUCCAACUACCCUCUACUUAAUUAUUUUUGCUAUGUGGUGUGAUUAACAGAAGAUGCGAACUUUAUUCUGAACUGUAAACCAACAAAAAAUAAUGUGAGACUGUUGUAAGACUUGCAGGUCUAAUUUUGCAGUAAUUUAGCAACAGGGAACACCACCAAAGCCUGUGGAUUUUAGUAGCGAUUAGUCACAAAAUAAAGUCACUUACAAGCCA
Long non-coding RNA from Pipra filicauda (Wire-tailed manakin), 2126 nucleotides. RefSeq lists it as uncharacterized. The transcript has 3 exons. The record is from RefSeq and is a predicted model, not a curated record. Lineage: Eukaryota; Metazoa; Chordata; Aves; Passeriformes; Pipridae.